AACAAACGCUGGCGGCAUGCCUAACACAUGCAAGUCGAACGAGACCUUCGGGUCUAGUGGCGCACGGGUGCGUAACGCGUGGGAACCUUCCCUUAGGUUCGGAAUAACUCCCCGAAAGGGGUGCUAAUACCGGAUAAUGUCUUCGGACCAAAGAUUUAUCGCCUUUGGAUGGGCCCGCGUUGGAUUAGCUUGUUGGUAGUGUAAAAGCCUACCAAGGCGACGAUCCAUAGCUGGUCUGAGAGGAUGAUCAGCCACACUGGGACUGAGACACGGCCCAGACUCCUACGGGAGGCAGCAGUGGGGAAUAGUGGACAAUGGGCGAAAGCCUGAUACAGCAAUGCCGCGUGAGUGAUGAAGGCCUUAGGGUUGUAAAGCUCUUUUACCCGGGAUGAUAAUGACAGUACCGGGAGAAUAAGCUCCGGCUAGCUCCGUG
RNAcentral lists this ribosomal RNA (433 nucleotides) under uncultured bacterium. RNAcentral describes it as "partial 16S ribosomal RNA". It matches the Rfam family "Bacterial small subunit ribosomal RNA", at positions 29 to 507 of the family's 1533-position model. The record is from RNAcentral.